GACGAACCGAGCGAACGUUGUUCGGAAUCACUGGGCUUAAAGGGCGCGUAGGCGGGUGCUCAAGUCUGUGGUGAAAUCCUCCGGCUCAACCGGAGAACUGCCAUGGAUACUGGGCGUCUCGAGUGUGGUAGGGGUAUGCGGAACUAUCGGUGGAGCGGCGAAAUGCGUUGAUAUCGAUAGGAACUCCGGUGGCGAAGGCGGCAUACUGGACCACCACUGACGCUGAUGCGCGAAAGCCAGGGGAGCAAACGGG
Molecule: ribosomal RNA, 253 nt
Filed under: uncultured bacterium
Lineage: Bacteria
Description: partial 16S ribosomal RNA
Rfam family: Bacterial small subunit ribosomal RNA
Source: RNAcentral